GACGAACGCUGGCGGCGUGCUUAACACAUGCAAGUCGAACGGUGAAGGGAUCAGCUUGCUGGUUCUGGAUGAGUGGCGAACGGGUGAGUAACACGUGAGUAACCUGCCCCCUUCUUCUGGAUAACCGCAUGAAAGUGUGGCUAAUACGGGAUAUUCUGCGCCUGCUGCAUGGUGGGUGUGGGAAAGAUAUUGUUUCGGUGGGGGAUGGGCUCGCGGCCUAUCAGCUUGUUGGUGGGGUGAUGGCCUACCAAGGCGGUGACGGGUAGCCGGCCUGAGAGGGUGGACGGUCACACUGGGACUGAGACACGGCCCAGACUCCUACGGGAGGCAGCAGUGGGGAAUAGUGCACAAUGGGCGCAAGCCUGAUGCAGCGACGCCGCGUGAGGGAUGGAGGCCUUCGGGUUGUGAACCUCUUUCGCCAGUGAAGCAGGCCUGUCCCUUGUGGGUGGGUUGACGGUAGCUGGAUAAGAAGCGCCGGCUAACUACGUG
This 489-nucleotide ribosomal RNA is filed under the name uncultured bacterium. RNAcentral describes it as "partial 16S ribosomal RNA". It matches the Rfam family "Bacterial small subunit ribosomal RNA", at positions 28 to 507 of the family's 1533-position model. The record is from RNAcentral.